Molecule: long non-coding RNA, 2828 nt
Organism: Gallus gallus (chicken)
Lineage: Eukaryota; Metazoa; Chordata; Aves; Galliformes; Phasianidae
Source: Ensembl
GAAUGAUGGUGCAGAUAGGCUGGAAAAAUCAAAAUCAAAAAACAGCCCUACUCUCAAGUGACAAUGCACAUGGGGAGCAAUAGUGGUUUCUACUGCUUUUGGGGAUCUUCACACCCAGAAACUGAAGAACUUGCAGUAAUUGUCCUUCUAACCAUGCUGUUAUGCAUGAUGUGGAAACAGCUUCUUUCAGAACCCCUGACACCAAAACCUGAAAACCUCUACCCACUCAAAAGGGAUAUAUAAAUAAACAGGGAGUCUUACAGAAAUGGACAGGAAUAAAGAAUUUACUUCUAUAGGAAAGGCUUUCUAAAGAUAUUAAGCCAGUGACUCAGUGUUUCAAUAACGUAAUUUUCUCCCUUCUUACGUCAGGAUUUUAAACAUCUCCAAUUCUGCAGACUGCCUUAAUGUGAUCUAUAUGUAAAACUACCCACCGGUGAUGUGAACUACAUGCUGCCUCGUGCCGAUACAAACAGCUUUUGUUCAAAGUGCAUUGGCUGGCGCUUUUCCACGUAGUACUUUUGUUUAGGUCACCACUGUCAGGCAGUAUUGUAAUGCUAAAAUAUAUUGCAAAUACUACAUAAAAAAUGUCUCCUGUUCUAUAAAAUGCACUAGUCCUGUAAAAAUGAAGAUCUGUUGGAAUCUUGAUAACAAAACAACCAGACGUUGGCAGUUGCUAUAGAAUAUUUGUGACCUUCAUUUUCAGUCCAGCAGCAUGGGCAGGAUGGAAUUACACUAGCAAAUUCACACUCACCAAAAAAUUCAUCCCCUCUGGUAUGGUUGCAUGGGAUUCAAAACAUCACAGAACACUUCAGGCCUCUCUGAGCAGUGGUCACCCCUGAUCACAGCAUUCUGCAAAGUGGAAAAACAAAUAGCAACUUAAGAAAAUUACUGUAGUUGUUUUUGUUUUGACAGAGCAACAGACAAGAAUACACAAACAUUUCAAAGGGAGAGAUUAAGUCAAGCAGCUAGACAGUAGUAUGUCUGCCACUGAGAGAUUUCCUACCCCAUUCUUAAAAAAAAAGAAAACAAACAAACAAAACCCCCAGAAUGUGCUUCUAUCCACUCGAAUUAAUUUUUAUAAUAUUUUGCUUUCAAAAGGGGAGGAAAAAGGAGAGGAAAAAGGAAUUGGGAUCCAAAAAAGAAAGAGGUAUACCCCAUCCUAAAGCUCUGAGGGACAUAUUGUUCAGCAAGGCAUGCAUUCAUAGGGGUUUCAGGGAGUUCCUCGCAUUAAUUCCAUUGAUAAUUAACAAAGUUUGUGCUGCUGAGCUCCUGAGCCUGGAUUUACAGAACUGCUACCAAGCACAAGCAAUGCCUGCAGCCAGAACAGAAGAACAACACUUGAGUACAUAGCAAUUAUACUAAAGGGAAUGACAAGAAGUUUUAAGAGAAGUGUAUUUGGGAAGAAGAUGGGCCAUGUGAAAUGGAAGUACAAAAGUCCAAUGCCAAAGAGAUCAAAGACUCACUCAGAAGUGUCUCCUCCAUAGCAAAAUAUUCCUGUUGCCUAACUUCACUGACAACACCAUUUCCAUAGGGGCUGGAAUCUGAUCUGACAUCUAGUUUACAGAAAGUUAUCAAAGUUAUUUACUGUAACAACACACUAAAAAUAAUGUUCUAUGGAUUUUACACGAGUCUUUUAUUUUUGCACAGAAGUCAGUAAUGUUGUGCCAGCAGGAAUUUUGGCUUUACUUUCACAUAAAAUAUUUUAUCCUGAAAAGCAAUAGAAACCCUAAUCAGACUGCAUCAUUCUAUAUUGCUACAAACUGCAAUUAAUCUGCUCAGAUGGAAAAACCAUACCAGUUUUUGACUGAAAGGCAUGUCAUUAAGUUUCUGAGUUGUUUACAUGUAAUGCAACAUGACAGGAAUUUGUGCAGAGAUGAGAGACAAGGAGCUAUUUGAAAUUAACUGUUUGGCAUCCUGUCUAUAGCUGUUUGCAGUCAGCAGGGAAUUGGCAGAGCUGAUUGGCGUUAUUGGUAUGUCUGUGGGUUCUGUGAGAGGGUUGAGAGGGUUUCUCAUAUUCGGUUGUCUUUGAGAAAAACGCGGUAAAAAGACACUGUGCCUUUGGGUGCUCAGGUCUAGGGAGUGAGGGAGAUUGUACUAACACCCUCAGCUUCUAACAAGACUAAGUAGCAAACCUAAAGUAUGGAAAUAUAUGGAUAUUAUUAGCAGGAGAGCACGUAAGUAACAUGAUUUGUACCUCUCACAUGAAACAUGGCCCUUUCCUCCUACAGUCCCUUCCAAUGGGAUGUCAAGGAGAUGACAGAGCCUGUGGAAUGGCUGGGCACAGCAGCAGCUGGGCACAAUGCAGUCGCAUGCGUGGUCACAGGAGGUGCUGUGCAGAAAGGAGACAGAAAGGAGAUUGGAUGAGUGCAGAAAAUCUGCAGAACCGCUUCUACAACAGCUUGUUGGUGUUAGGAUGGUUGUAGAGAGUUAAGCACUUGAAAUACUGAAGGCCCCUAAAUCACCAGGCGCUCAGAAAAUUUGAUUUAAGACCUUUUUUGACAUGGAAGAAAUUAUUUCCUCCAUCACAGAACCUCUCUGUCAUCUGGGAAAGCGUGUUUGAUGAUGGGAAGAGGAGGAAAAUUAAUUAAACUAAUAAAAAGGCAACUGGAAAAACUGAAUUAAUUCUCAACUGCUCAUGGGGCAAGAAUGGACAUGGAGAGAACUGCGGCAGCUUUGGUGUCCCUCAGUUAGAUAGUUAGAUCUGUAAGAGACUGAAAACACCACUGCAAUGAUAGUGAGAUGAUUGUCUUCACCAUGUCUCAGACACUGAAGGAAGACAGGAUCGGGUAAAGCCAGUGGAAAAUUACUAAUAAAAGAGGUGUUUUAUG